This 297-nucleotide long non-coding RNA is filed under the name Setaria viridis. RNAcentral's name for it is "long non-coding RNA (SVIR_LNC004504)". The record is from RNAcentral. Lineage: Eukaryota; Viridiplantae; Streptophyta; Magnoliopsida; Poales; Poaceae.
CAGUUUGUAGAGAUUGAGGGUGUCAUUUAGACGGUUUCAAAGAUCGGGUUGAGUUUUAGACACCGGGUAUAGUUUGGGGGGGUGUAACGUGGACUUCUUCUGGGUAGAAACCACUCACACAUAGCGAUGUCACACCGUCACACGUGACUGCAUAUUGCAAACACGCUGCGCCCAGAAGCAAAAUUUUGCUUGCCUUUUAAAGGCCUAUUUGGUAGAGCCCCAUCUGAUUCUAAUUCUAUGUGGAAGCUGAUUCUCUGAGAUAAGUGAUUUUAUGACCAAAAGUGAUUCUCUUUCAUU